UGGGGAAUUUUGCACAAUGGGCGGAAGCCUGAUGCAGAGACGCCGUGUGGGGGAUGAAGGCCUUCGGGUUGUAAACUCCUUUCGUCAGGGACGAAGUUUGUUUGACGGUACCUGGAUAAGAAGCACCGGCUAACUACGUGCCAGCAGCCGCGGUAAUACGUAGGGUGCGAGCGUUGUCCGGAUUUACUGGGCGUAAAGGGCUCGUAGGGGGUGUGUUGCGUCUUCUGUGUAAUCCAGGGGCUUAACUUUUGGUUGGCAGGCGAUACGGGCAUUGCUUGAGUGCUGUAGGGGAGACUGGAAUUCCUGGUGUAGCGUGAAAUGCGCAGAUAUCAGGAGGAACACCGAUGGCGAAGGCAGGGCUCUGGGCAGUUACUGACGCUGAGGAGCGAGAGCAUGGGUAGCGAACAGG
This 409-nucleotide ribosomal RNA is filed under the name bacterium. Its description in RNAcentral is "partial 16S ribosomal RNA". It matches the Rfam family "Bacterial small subunit ribosomal RNA", at positions 355 to 776 of the family's 1533-position model. The record is from RNAcentral.